This 492-nucleotide ribosomal RNA is filed under the name uncultured bacterium. Its description in RNAcentral is "partial 16S ribosomal RNA". It matches the Rfam family "Bacterial small subunit ribosomal RNA", at positions 29 to 507 of the family's 1533-position model. The record is from RNAcentral.
AGUUAACGCUGGCGGUGGUCCUAACACAUGCAAGUCGAACGGCAUCACAGUAAUAGCUUUCUCUUACGGGUUGCGAUUGGCUGACGGGUGAGGUAUACAUCGGAAUCUACUUUUUCGUGGGUUAUAACGUAGUGAAACUUACGCUAAUACCGCAUACGUCCUCCGGGUGAAAUCAGUGGAUCUUCGGAUCUUGCUCGAUUUAAUUAGCCUAUUUCGGAUUAGCUAGUUGUCGGGGUAAAGCCCCACCAAGGCGACGAUCCGUAGCUGGUCUGAGAGGAUGAUCAGCCACACUGGAACUGAGACAAGGUCCAGAAUCCUACGGGAGGCAGCAGUGGGGAAUAUUGGACAAUGGGCGCAAGAAUGAUCCAGCCAUACCGCGUGGGUGAAGAAGGCCUUCGGGUUGUAAAGCCAUUUUGUUGGGAAAGAAAAGCAGCAGGUUAAUACCAAGCUGUUCUGACGGUACCCAAAGAAUAAGCACAGGCUAACUUCGUG